Molecule: long non-coding RNA, 2846 nt
Organism: Gasterosteus aculeatus aculeatus (three-spined stickleback)
Lineage: Eukaryota; Metazoa; Chordata; Actinopteri; Perciformes; Gasterosteidae
Source: Ensembl
UUACUUUCGAUCUCAUCGAGUUAAACGUUUUCAUUUGUCGUUUACUUUGACUUAUGACCAAAAACUGCAAAACCAAUUAAAUCCUGAUUAUUCUCAACAGAACCUAUCAGCAAAUGUUAGCAUGCUAACCCACUAAACAUGUGGACGAACAUGGUAAAUAUUCCAACGUUAUCAUUUAGCUCAAUGCUCAAAGAAGCGCCGCCAGUUUCUCCAAUUCUUAGAAAGUCCGCCAUUACUGACGGCUUUUGACUGUUCAUCAUCUGGAACUACUGUGAACUUUUGGAAUUCUGUCCUACAAAUCACUCGCCGCCCCCCCUUUUUUUAUUCUUAUUUAUUAAACUUUUUACAAAAACAGGUCUGGCUUGUUGACCAUAAAAAAGCGUUAACACAAGUGUUUAAAUGACUCAAAAAUCCUUCACUUUAAUACGAAUCCUCUAGUAGGAUUCACACUGUGGCGUUCUUUCUUCCAACCUUUGGACCGUGAGGCCUGAGACGUGUUGUUGACUGAAGCGCUCAAUUGUUCCGAUGUUACCACAUUUCCCAGUAAUGUCGCGAGGGCGUUGCCGCUCUGCUUUGCUGCCGUUGGGCUCAUUGUCUCGGGUACAAGGGGAGCAAACGUAUGCUUGAAGGAGCCCCAUUUAAGACUCAAUCAGCGCUUUCGUGGGGUCCACUGACCCAGAAAAUGGGUUUCCACGGUCAGAGGAAAUGAUACUCCAGUAAUCUCCUUACCGGCAAAACCCCGGGGGAAAGAACGCGCAGAGAUCUCGCACGCAGUCACAGAACACUGUUCAUGAACUUUUCACCCCAACGUGCCGCAGACGAUGUAAUGUCUCAGAUGAUGUCAUUAAUUGACAACAGUUUCAAACCGGUUUCUUUCUUGGCGGGUGAUCCAGACGUUUGGUUGUUGUAUUGUUUAUAGCUUUGGCUGAGAGAGUUUCCCACACAUUCCUGUCGUGUGUGUGUUGAACAAGAGGAUUCUGCAGAGGCGGGUGCAGGUGUAUCGUGUGUCCCUCGUCUUGCGUUCUCGUGGGAGAUGUGUUUGAGAUGCAGCGUCGGGAGGGUUACUUUAAAGAUGUAUUCCAAAAACAAAGUCCAGUUAACUUGUAAAAGAUGUCGUUACAAAUAUCACAAUAUUACGGAGCCAUUACGUAUUGAGUCUCUGUUCCUUUUGGAUUACCUCAAUACCAAAUUAAAUAAAAUAAAGACCAGAGACAAGAAAAAUUAUCGGAAUGAUUUGUGUUUAGAGCGGAAAUGGGAAACAUCACAGGAAAGUUAAAAUACAAACUCAAAUCUUUUGGCCCAUUAGCAGUACCGGAUUUUAAACUGGGAGCAGCAACUAACUAUAUCAAUUAAAUUAAAUCAAAUGCACAUUUUCCCAGUUUAUCCUGUAUCAGUUUUGCAGGAGAAGAAAUGAGAAGCUGAAUCAAACCUUCUUGUCACGCUGGGUUGACUCUGGGAAGAUGGUUUGGAUGAAGUGGAAAGUAAGCACACCAACCUCGUUUGUAGCAAACUUGGACACAACUUGUUCCCUUUUUUCCUGCUUUACGAACAAGAUUUACACCCAGUGGAAGCAUUUCUCCCACCAACGUUAGCCAACGUUGUGACUUGUUUUCUAAUGUGUGAACAUAUCAAUGGUAGUUCAAAAGAAAAUAUGUAUUUUAAGGUAGCUGUCACAAAAUAACUACUUUUUUGUAUUCUUUUUAUUAUGUAACAUUGUUCCAUUUUAUUCAUUAUUCCCCAAACCCCGUUUAUCAACAUUUCACCGUCCAAUAUUUUGGUUUCUUGCCAAAAGCAAGAAUCAAAAUCAAGUGUGCUCUUUUUAUAAAGCUAAUCGUAGCAUGCUAGCACCCUUACGCUGACGCUAGGCGCUUUAGUUGAAGAAGUCUAGAGGAGACUCUGGUUAAAACACAUAUGAUAUAUAAUACAUGCAUUCCAGCUCGAGAGUAAUGAACAUGCCACUCAAACACACAGAAGCCUGCUCCCUAAUGAAAAAGGCUCAACAGACAAAUAAAUGCUAAGUGACCGUUUUUUCAAAGAAAAAAUAGCUCGCUGCUUCCCUGAAGCUAUUAAAUCCACACUGUGACACAGAAGACAUCUGAUACGGGUGGGUCCGAUUCAGUGAAAACAUUUUCCCUGCGCUAUCCGGUUACACAUACCGUUGCAUAAUCGCGAGUAGAUAGGUCAUCCGGCCACUUGUUAUUUAAGAUCUUUAGAGGAGCUGUUUUGACAGUCACGCCGAGUGAUCUGACUUGGAGUCUAGUUUCAUGUGGUAAUUGAUUGUGUGAUGAAGAUAGAAAGACAGACUCGAUCCAGAAAGCACUGAAUGCAACUGCAAAGAGUAGCCAAGCGUUUGCUAGCGGUGUGUAUAAUAAUCUAAUUUACAGCAGUUUCAAUAAAAGUGCUAUGCGAUGGUAACAAUGGAAUGGUUUGGAAAACCUAAGAACCCUUCAAGGGGAGAAGAUGUAAGAAGAUGGAGAAGAUCCAUUGGCCGAUGGCCUUCGGUGGCUUUAGCUGUCGUUGUCUAAAGUGAUGUGGACUCAGCGUAAAGAAACAGCAGUCUGACGCCGACCUGCACCUCUCCAGUUAAACAACCAAUUUGUAUAUUAUGAUUAUUAAACAGUCUCAGUUUAAUACUGAUGCCUCUAUGUGACCUAAACCUGUAUACGAGACCAUCAGAGAGAAGAUUCUGCAUUUCUACUCGAUGCCACCCGGCAAGAUUCUGCUGAAACCAGGUGACUUCCAUGCAGGUUCACCAGAACCUCCACCAGCAGAGACCCAUUCCCCGUGGACAGACCUAGAUCCUCCAGCAGAGACCAGUUCCCCCGUGGACAGACCCGGAUCCUCCA